GGCAGAGGGAGCCCGACCCCCGUGGCCGGCGACGCCGGCCAUGAGGAAAGUCCCCCCACCGGCCGGACGGGCGACCGGGCGCAAGCCCGGAGUCGGAGACGGCUGGCUCUGGAACAGAAACGACACCCCCCGAUCCGACCGAUGAGGUGCGUCGACCGCGAACGCGGUCGACGGCGUCCGCGGUCCGCCGUGGACGGGCGAACCGACCCGCGAGGGAAGGGAGUUAACCCACCGAGGGCUGCGGGGCCUCACGUGCUCCGAUGCGAGCGGGGUUACCCGCGAGCCGACGAUCGGGAACGGAUGGAACGGCGAAUCCUCGCCGGUGCAAGCCCGCACCACCCGGCGGCCUCGCCGCCGGACAGGUAGUCCGGCCACGGCGCGGGCGCUCAGCCGAAUGUCGGGACGAACAGAAGGGGGCUUACUCCCCUCAGCC
Molecule: RNase P RNA, 433 nt
Filed under: Halalkaliarchaeum sp. AArc-GB
Lineage: Archaea; Methanobacteriati; Methanobacteriota; Halobacteria; Halobacteriales; Haloferacaceae
Description: RNase P RNA component
Rfam family: Archaeal RNase P
About the family: Ribonuclease P (RNase P) is a ubiquitous endoribonuclease, found in archaea, bacteria and eukarya as well as chloroplasts and mitochondria. Its best characterised activity is the generation of mature 5'-ends of tRNAs by cleaving the 5'-leader elements of precursor-tRNAs. Cellular RNase Ps are ribonucleoproteins.
Source: RNAcentral